UAAGUCUGAUGUGAAAGCCCACGGCUCGGGGCGUGGAGGGUCAUUGGAAACUGGAAAACUUGAGUGCAGAAGAGGAAAGUGGAAUUCCAUGUGUAGCGGUGAAAUGCGCAGAGAUAUGGAGGAACACCAGUGGCGAAGGCGACUUUCUGGUCUGUAACUGACGCUGAUGUGCGAAAGCGUGGGGAUCAAACCGGAUUAGAUACCCUGGUAGUCCACGCCGUAAACGAUGAGUGCUAAGUGUUAGGGGGUUUCCGCCCCUUAGUGCUGCAGCUAACGCAUUAAGCACUCCGCCUGGGGAGUACGACCGCAAGGUUGAAACUCAAAGGAAUUGACGGGGACCCGGCACAAGCGGUGGAGCAUGUGGUUUAAUUCGAAGCAACGCGAAGAACCUUACCAAAUCUUGACAUCCUCUGACCCCUCUAGAGAUAGAGUUUUCCCCUUCGGGGGGACAGAGUGACAGGUGGUGCAUGGUUGUCGUCAGCUCGUGUCGUGAGAUGUUGGGUUAAGUCCCGCAACGAGCGCAACCCUUAAGCUUAGUUGCCAUCAUUAAGUUUGGGCACUCUAAGUUGACUGCCGGUGACAAACCGGAGGAAGGUGGGGAUGACGUCAAAUCAUCAUGCCCCUUAUGAUUUGGGCUACACACGUGCUACAAUGGACAAUACAAAGGGUAGCGAAACCGCGAGGUCAAGCAAAUCCCAUAAAGUUGUUCUCAGUUCGGAUUGUAGUCUGCAACUCGACUAUAUGAAGCUGGAAUCGCUAGUAAUCGUAGAUCAGCAUGCUACGGUGAAUACGUUCCCGGGUCUUGUACACACCGCCCGUCACACCACGAGAGUUUGUAACACCCGAAGCCGGUGGAGUAA
Molecule: ribosomal RNA, 860 nt
Filed under: uncultured Staphylococcus sp.
Lineage: Bacteria; Bacillati; Bacillota; Bacilli; Caryophanales; Staphylococcaceae
Description: SSU rRNA
Rfam family: Bacterial small subunit ribosomal RNA
Source: RNAcentral